This is a non-coding RNA of Notechis scutatus (mainland tiger snake), 87 nucleotides long. The record is from RefSeq and is a predicted model, not a curated record. Lineage: Eukaryota; Metazoa; Chordata; Lepidosauria; Squamata; Elapidae.
GAAUAGAGUAGAAUAGAAGAUUUUUGAGUGACAAUUUUUACCUGAUCAUAAUCAGGAGGGGGCUUAUAGUCAAUUAUUAUUUUGCUG